GAUGAACGCUAGCUCCAGGCUUAACACAUGCACGUCGAGGGUCAGCAUGACCUAGCCAUAGGUUGAUGGCGACCGGCGCACGGGUGAGUCACACGUAUCCAACCUCCCGACUAUUCCGGGAUAGCCUUUCGAAAGAAAGAUUAAUACUGGAUAGCAUAACGAUUAGGCAUCUUCUUGUUAUUUAAGAAUUUCGAUUAUCGAUGGGGAUGCGUUCCAUUAUUUUGUUGGCGGGGUAACAGCCCACCAAGACAUCGAUGGAUAGGGGUUCUGAGAGGAAGGUCCCCCACAUUGGAACUGAGACACGGUCCAAACUCCUACGGGAGGCAGCAGUGAGGAAUAUUGGGCAAUGGACGAGAGUCUGAACCAGCCAAGUAGCGUGAAGGAUGACUGCCCUAUGGGUUGUAAACUUCUUUUAGAUGGGAAUAAAGUGGGCCACGUGUGGCUUUUUGUAUGUACCAUACGAAUAAGGAUCGGCUAACUCCGUG
RNAcentral lists this ribosomal RNA (485 nucleotides) under uncultured bacterium. RNAcentral describes it as "partial 16S ribosomal RNA". It matches the Rfam family "Bacterial small subunit ribosomal RNA", at positions 28 to 507 of the family's 1533-position model. The record is from RNAcentral.